GGUAACUGGGGGACAGAGGCGGUGGUAAUAGGUAGGCAGGGAGAGUUGUUCGGAAUUACUGGGCGUAAGGAGUGGUGAGGCGGUGCUCGAAGUUCGGUGUGAAAUCUCCCGGCUUAACUGGGAGGGUGCGCCGGAAACUGGAAUGCUCGAGCGUGGGAGAGGAAAGCGGAAUUCCUGGUGUAGCGGUGAAAUGCGUAGAUAUCAGGAGGAACACCUGCGGUGUAGACGGCUUUCUGGACCAUUGCUGACGCUGAGACACGAAAGCGUGGGUAGCAAACAGGAUUAGAUACCCGGGUAGUC
This 300-nucleotide ribosomal RNA is filed under the name uncultured Methanoregula sp. Its description in RNAcentral is "bacterial SSU rRNA". It matches the Rfam family "Bacterial small subunit ribosomal RNA", at positions 496 to 795 of the family's 1533-position model. The record is from RNAcentral. Lineage: Archaea; Methanobacteriati; Methanobacteriota; Methanomicrobia; Methanomicrobiales; Methanoregulaceae.